AUUCCAGCUCCAAUAGCGUAUAUUAAAGUUGUUGCAGUUAAAAAGCUCGUAGUUGGACUUCUGGCAUGCUGCGCCUGGCCCGCCCGCGUUAGCGGUGUGAGUGCCGGUUUGCGCGGUUGCCAUCCUUCAGAAAAUCCGGCCUGCCUUUUGUUAGGUUGGGUCGGCGAUUCUGAUCGUUUACUUUGAAAAAAUUAGAGUGUUUAAAGCAGGCAAUUGCUGUGAAUACAUUAGCAUGGAAUAAUAAUAUAGGACUUUGGUUCUAUUUUGUUGGUUUCUAGGACUAAAGUAAUGAUUGAUAGGGAUAGUUGGGGGUGCUAGUAUUGAGUGGCCAGAGGUGAAAUUUUCGGACUCACUCAAGACUAACUUAUGCGAAAGCAUUCACCAAGGAUGUCUUCAUUG
Molecule: ribosomal RNA, 399 nt
Filed under: Ventricleftida sp.
Lineage: Eukaryota; Cercozoa; Thecofilosea; Ventricleftida
Description: partial small subunit ribosomal RNA
Rfam family: Eukaryotic small subunit ribosomal RNA
Source: RNAcentral